GAAAAGCUCAAAGUUGGAACCUGGCUGCCCUAGGCAGUCCGGAUUGUAAACUAAAGAGCGUGAUUCCAGGCAAGCCGGUUGACCAAGUCCUUUGGAAUGAGGCGCCACUGAGGGUGAGAGCCCCGUAAGUCGACUGAGCAUUUGUCUUUUGUGUUUCGCGUUCAAAGAGUCAGGUUGUUUGGGAAUGCAGCCUAAAGCUGGUGGUAAAUCCCACCUAAAGCUAAAUACAGGCGAGAGACCGAUAGCGAACAAGUACCGUGAGGGAAAGAUGAAAAGAACUUUGAAAAGAGAGUUAAACAGUAUGUGAAAUUGCCAAGAGGGAAGCAUUUGGAGUUAGAUUGACUAGGAGUUAAUCAGCUUGGUCUUUGGACUGGGUGUACUUGACUUCUUACAGUCUGCCAAUAGCAGUUAGUCCUAGUGGAAAAAACCAGAGGGAAGGUAGUCCUUCGGGAUGUUUAUAGACCUUUGGAAAAUACACUGGGAUUGACUGAGGAAUGCAGUAGAUGCCAC
RNAcentral lists this ribosomal RNA (510 nucleotides) under Lichtheimia sp. TEG2V. RNAcentral's name for it is "eukaryotic LSU rRNA". It matches the Rfam family "Eukaryotic large subunit ribosomal RNA", at positions 102 to 608 of the family's 3401-position model. Lineage: Eukaryota; Fungi; Mucoromycota; Mucoromycetes; Mucorales; Lichtheimiaceae. The record is from RNAcentral.